UUUUUACGUAAAUUUAUUUACUUUGGUAGUAUUAGUUAUUUUCUUGAAACUUAAAGUAUUUGGCGGUAUUUUAUUCUUUUUAGAGGAAUCUGUUUCAUAAUUGAUAAUCCGCAUUGGACCUUACUUAUUUUAUUAGUAUGUAUAUCGCCGUUGUUAAUUAUCUUUUUAGAGUUAAAUUUUUAUUUUAUUAUUAUUAUUUAUUUCAGGUCAAGGUGCAAUUUAUAAAUAAGUAGAGAUGGAUUACAAUAUUUUUUGUAUAUUAUGGAAUAUUUAUUGUAAUUUAUUUAAAUAUGAAGGUGGAUUUAAUAGUAAUUUUAUGUAGAUUAUUAAUUUGAAUAUAGCUCUAUAAUAUGU
This 354-nucleotide ribosomal RNA is filed under the name Isoldaia sp. MNHN PG17. RNAcentral describes it as "partial 12S ribosomal RNA". Lineage: Eukaryota; Metazoa; Arthropoda; Insecta; Blattodea; Pseudophyllodromiidae. The record is from RNAcentral.